CUAGCAAAAUCCUGCCUACAGCAGCUUUAACUGCAGGCUGUUUUAUUACUCGUUUGCAAUUGUGGCCUGUUCAUUUGUGUCUGUUGCUGCCAUCAGUGGGAAAAUAGAAAAGGAUUGUUCUGCAUUUUAUUCAUUUGCACUGACUUCAGGCUGCCUAACUUUGCAUUUGCAGAAUGCACAGAAAUGCACUGAAAUCAAAAUUAAACAGCUUAUUUUCAUUUUAUAUAACCUAUUUACCUUUUCAAAAGGCUGCUGUUCUAUUUGUAUAGUUGCAGACUGUGUUUUAACUGCAGGUGUUUUAUUGCACUGUUACCCAGAUAAUGGAAAAGAGAAGAGGAUUGUAUUAUUGAAGUUUGAAGAGGAUUGCACUUUAUUUCCAUGGGAAGGUCUGACAUUACAGGAUGCCUAUUAAUAAUAGCUCCUCUAUGCAGGCCUACAUCUUCAUUUCUUGACGACUGGACAGUCCUUAUUUGUUGAAGCUCUUCAGUAUUGGAUGUUGAAGACAACCAGAAGGCUAUGGACGAGACGGCCCGGGUAAACUUAUGCCAUCACCGUUGAAGGUGCAGAGCCCACAGACUGCCUGGCAGAUGUUGGAAUUAUCUGUGAAGGAGUGAAUGUGCUCCAUGAACUCGUUGACAUUGCAGAUGCUGUCGCCAUUUUGCUUGGCCUCAUGUACUUGCUUGACUUGAGGUAUCCAACAAAUCUCAAGUAUACAUUUGAAGUUCUGCAGAAGCUUGUCCUGGAGCUUGAUGCCAACAAACUGUCAACGAAGGUGCAAGUGCUGAAGAACAAACUCUUUGAAGGAACGCCUCAGGCAGGUGCUGUGCUGCAUUUGGAUCUGCAUGUUCUGUGAGGAAUGGACUCGGUGUUGCAGACUGGAUGCCGAACUGUUCAAUGGACAGUGAUGCAGUGAUGGGUGAAUAUUGAUCGUGGUAGCACUGAGGAGAAACAAAACUUUAACAUUUGGUUUUAGUGCCAUUAAAAAAAAUGCAAGUUCUCUGUCAUAAGAUUUUGGAAAUGUUUGUGGAAAAUGCAUUUUCCUCAAUGACUGUUGUGGACUACUUUGUUUUUUAGUCCAAAUGAGAUUGCCUUACUGAAGUGGCAUGAAGCACAAUAUUAUUGAGUGUUUUUACUUGACACAAAUGUGUGUUCACAAUUCCUAAGGUCUCACUGUUCAGUGUUAUAAGCAAUUUAGAUUCAGAUGCUUUUACGCAAUUAAUAUGUAUUUGUUAUUUGUUUUCAUUGAGCAGUUUCAUGCAGUGCUGAAGUGGCAUCAAGCAAAAUAGUUUUUUUGCUUAACAAAUGUGUGUUCACAAUAAGGUCUCACUGUUCAGUAUUGUGAGCAUUUCAGAUGCAUUUGUUUGCAGUGGACAGUUUCUAACAUCGAUGUUAAAAAUUCUCUGA
Molecule: long non-coding RNA, 1404 nt
Organism: Salarias fasciatus (jewelled blenny)
Lineage: Eukaryota; Metazoa; Chordata; Actinopteri; Blenniiformes; Blenniidae
Exons: 3
Source: RefSeq, a predicted model, not a curated record